UACGAAAAUUAACCUACGAAAAUCCCCUUGCCCCCAACCCCCCGCCCGCAUGUCUGUCGAUCCCCCUCGCCGCCGCCCCGAGACCAACGCACGUCUCUACAUCGAUCCCCUCUCUAGAUCGCCUCCUCCGCCGUUUCUCCAGAUCGCAGUCUCCGUCGUUUCUCCGGAUUGUUGCCACCGCCGUCUGGAUCGCCGCCGCCACGGCCGCCGUCACACAGAAGACGCCGCCGGGAUCGCGUCCGCGUACGGGACUGCGCCGCCGACGUGUGCUGCAGGGACACGUCUCUCCAUCGAUCCCCUCUCCGGAUCGCCUCCUCCGUCGUUUCUCCAGAUCGCCGUCUUCGUCGUUUCUCCGGAUUGCUGCCACCGCCGUCUGGAUCACCGCCGCCGCGCCCGCCGUCACACAGAAGACGCCGUCGGGAUCGCGUCCACGUACGGGACCGCCGCCGCUGAUGUGUGCCGCAGGGACAUCGAAGCAAAGACUGCGGCGCGGCUGGUCCAUUGCGCCCUCGAGCGAGUGCGGUGGAGACAAACUGAGGGGCGCAUGGGAGGCAGACUGGAGGCACGGCCCACGGUGGGCUACUCUGAAAUGCCGCUCUUCCUCUCCCCAUGUUAGUGUUGUAGCUAUGGAGGAUGAGGCAAUUGGAGAUGAUGAGGAUCAUGCAACGGCUGGCGGGCGUGUGCCCUCUCGGCUUUGGGGCGAAGCAGGAAGACUCCGCCUUUGUGGGUGCACCUAUGCCCUCUUUCUCAAGUAGUGAAUUGAGUGCUACACAUUGCUAUUGCUGCAGUAUGAUGUCAAGGUGGAGUGGCUCAGAGCUCCUGUGUUUGACAACUCUGAGAACAAAGUACAGUCGUAACACAUCGACGGCUACGCCUUUUUGGGUUGUUGGGUACGCAUGUGAGAGACAUUGGUUUCAGUGAUUGUGAAAGGAGGAAAAUGGUCGCCGAAAAGCAGGCAGAUCUACACCUUGAGAGAUGGCAUUUUGCGGUACAUUGUUUAGGUAUUUGGAGUAUCUAUUAUGUUUCAGAAUUUCUCGAACUAUGGUAUCUCCAUAUCCAUCUAAUGAAUGUCCCCCCCCCCCCCCCUAAUUUCAUUGAUAUCUUAAUGAGAAAUUUGGCUUUUGGUGAACUAAAACAAUAUACCAAUAAAAAAAUUAGCGCUUGGUUGUACAUAUGAAUGUUAACUUUGUUAAAAUAAUUCUCCCUUUAUAAGAGAAGAUUUCUUAGUUCAAAUAUAUAUUGGUGAAAAAAAUAUAGUAUUUUCCUGACAAACCUUUUGAUUCCUCAACAUCCAUAUUUCAGAAGGAUAAUGGUGGUGUGUUUAUGUUGCUUUGGGUCUCUUAUCACUCGGAUCAUUCAUCAGAAAAAUAUUUAAAAAAUAAUUCUAUUUUGACGUUUCCUUUGAGUUCAUUGUUCCAUAAUAGUAGUUUAGGUUCACAGGAAACCAGACCAUAUGUUUCAGUUUCACUCUUUGGACCAUGAUGGUGGUGUGCAAGGCGGGCUAGAUCGUAAUGCUAAAAGAAUCAAUGGAGGUUAUUGGAUAGCUUUUAGAUUCUCCAAAAAAUAAUCUAGCAGAUGGAUGAUCCUAUUAUCACGUAUGGUGGUGGUGUGCAAGGAAACAGAGCAGCAUGAUGGUAGCUAAUGUUGUUAUUUUCACAUGUAAGAUGUAUGAGCUUCAGUUGUCAAAAAUGAUUAGUUUAAUCGGAAUUUAGAGUUUCAUUCUUAGUUCUUUGAAAUAUUGUUUUUAUGGGUAAUUCCUGAAGAGUGUAGUAUAUUGGGAGCCAAGGCCGAGUAGCAAGCCAUGUGUCACCGCAAGGACAGGAGCGAGAUUUAAUUAAUUUUAUUUGCAAGAUUUGGUCUUCCCUUCUUGUUUUCAUGGUCAUCUCACAGGUUUUAUCACUUACAUUUCCUUCUAUGGUGGUCUGAUCAUUGUACUUUGGGACAUUGUACUUUUAGGACGUAAUGUGCACUUCUGGUUGUUAUUUUAAAUUGCUCAUGUCUUGAUAUGUCUUUCAAAUUCUUGACAUCUGCCCCAGUAGCCUAAACUUCCAUGGCAUGCUCCAUCGGAGUAUUUUGUUUGUUGUACAAUUUUCAAGUGCGACCUUCCAAUUUAUGUUGUUGUAACUGUAAGGUUUGGCACCUCAGAUAAGUUCUCGAAAUACCAAUGUCAUAUUUCAAUUAGAAAAUAAGAUUUAGUUUGAUCAUGCAUGCAAUUGUAAUAACCCUACUAUGAGCUUUUAUGUACUGGUUUAAAUAGUUAAAUCUUCUAGAUCAUUUUGCAUAUUUUCUUGGAAUUAUACUGUGAGAGCAUCUUAGUUUUCACUAAGCGAUAAAAUACAUUUUCUAUUUCCGUAAUACAGGUCAUUAGUGGUCACUUGGGAUGGGUGCGAUCUGUAGCAUUUGAUCCAGGGAACAAAUGGUUUUGUCCUGGUUCUGCUGAUAGGACAAUAACGACAAGGAAGAAGGUUGCAGAGCACGGAUGGAUGUGAAAAGGAAGAGGAUGGAUGAGAGAGGAGAGAAGAGGGGUGAAAGAGGAUACGGAUGGAAAGAGGGAGAAGGACAGGGUGGAUGCGCUUCUUGAGGAUUUUUGUCGACUGAUUUCAUACUCUCUUAUAAAUUCAUGGUUAGCUAGGUAAACCUUUUGUACAACAGCUCUUGUUCAAAAGGAAGUUUGAUUUUUCGGCUUCUUAUUUUAGGUCAAUAUCAAGAACAGUUUAGUUAAUUUAGUUUAAUGUUUAUGUUUGAAAUUGACUUUUACCAUUCUGGUUGAAUGGGGGUGUGGAUAGAAGAGAUUGUGAGUCGGGUAUGGUGAUGCCAACAUUGUAUUGGGGGCAGAUAGAUUUAAGUUCUGUCU
Molecule: non-coding RNA, 2854 nt
Organism: Triticum urartu
Lineage: Eukaryota; Viridiplantae; Streptophyta; Magnoliopsida; Poales; Poaceae
Source: RefSeq, a predicted model, not a curated record